Molecule: ribosomal RNA, 523 nt
Filed under: uncultured eukaryote
Lineage: Eukaryota
Description: eukaryotic LSU rRNA
Rfam family: Eukaryotic large subunit ribosomal RNA
Source: RNAcentral
CCGGGCGGCCGCGGUCGUCCCAUGAAAAUCCGCGGAUGAACGAGUAGGCGACGGUCCGGGUCGUACCAAUGACCGCAUCGGGUCUCCAAGGUUAGCAGCCUCUGGUCAAUAGGAUAAUGCAGAUAAGGGAAUUCGGCAAAUUAGAUCCGUAACUUCGGGAAAAGGAUUGGCUCUGAGGAUUGGAUUCAAGGGCCCAUUCAUGAAAGCUUAGCUGUCUUGGAACUGCGGAGGCAACGAAGUGGCUCCAGGAUAGCGAACGCUGGAAUGGGUGGGACGUCUUCAUCGGCUUUCCUUGAAUAAUUAACAAUUAACUCAGAACUGAAGCGGACAAGGGGAAUCCGACUGUUUAAUAAAAACAUAGCAUUGUGAUGGCCUGAAAAGGUGUUGACACAAUGUGAAUUCUGCCCAGUGCUUUGAAUGUCAAAGUGAAGAAAUUCAACCAAGCGCAGGUAAACGGCGGGAGUAACUAUGACUCUCUUAAGGUAGCCAAAUGCCUCGUCAUCUAAUUAGUGACGCGCAUGAA